GGAAAACCCCCGCCUCCUAAAUAUGGUCGUGUAAUGAGGAAUUUUAAUGCCCCAAGAAUAUCUACAAUUGCAUCAGUUGUUCAAUCAUCACCGGAUAAAAAAGCUUCUGGUCUAUAUGAGAAGGUUAUUCUACAGAAGUUUGUACCGAAUGGAAAGGUUCCUUUGAAGAACUCGCCUCCCGUUACUAUGGAAAAUAAUGAUAGGAAUCUACCAUCUGAGCCAAUGAUGAGAAGUGAAAAAGAAAUGGGAGGAAAUAUUAUUGUGUCGGGUAAAGAAAAUAUGGAGAGUAAAGAUUCCAUGAGAUCUUGUUCAAAUAAUGUGACUGUAUCUUCCAGUGAUCAGUAUCUUUCUACAUCUGCUGGCUCACCAGUUAAUACAUCUUCUGAAGAAAAAGUGGUUGAGUUGAAACCUCAGGCUCAUCCUGAAACAGUUUGCCAUUCAUCUGAUCCCUCUCAAGCUCUUAAUCACCUGCAAAGAAAUGACCAUGAAGAGGUGGCAAACACAG
RNAcentral lists this unclassified non-coding RNA (505 nucleotides) under Hevea brasiliensis (rubber tree). The record is from RNAcentral. Lineage: Eukaryota; Viridiplantae; Streptophyta; Magnoliopsida; Malpighiales; Euphorbiaceae.